Silurus meridionalis is the source of this 1102-nucleotide long non-coding RNA. RefSeq lists it as uncharacterized. Lineage: Eukaryota; Metazoa; Chordata; Actinopteri; Siluriformes; Siluridae. The record is from RefSeq and is a predicted model, not a curated record. The transcript has 5 exons.
UGACAUUAACAGCACAGCAGAUGGAGCGAAGAGUCUGCUCUGAUGUGACAAGGGAAGCAUCUUCUCUAGAGGUUCUUUUUGUGUUUGUGUGUGUAUCUCAGUCGAACUCCUGCUCCAAUGCUUUACCAUGCAACAUUGAAACGUGUGAGAAUGGAGUGGCAUGUGUUUCAGACUGGUUGAUAAGAAGCUUACACAGAGAGAAUCUCAACAUAGAUCAUUUCACUAACGACUUUUGUGGCCAGUAGAUAAAUUGGUUUCACCCCCCCUCCAUAUUUGAGGCCUACUGGAGCAGUAUCUCAGCACGAAGCAGCCAAAAGAAGAAAAAGAAGAAGAGGAAGAAGGACACCAUCCGAAUGUCCGACAAGAAACUUCUCAUUUCAUGACUAUUUAGAGGAGCCAUCCUCUGAGGCGCAACUCCCCUCCCACAGCCUAAUGUCUUCUUUGAUUCAGAGGCGUCUCGUUAGAUAAAUGGAAUUCCUUACGCUGACUGAUGGCUGUUCAGUUCUGAGACAGCCCCGAAGUACCACUAGUUUGUGCUUUUUAGAUAAGAAAGAGUUUUGUUAUAGAUCCCAGAAAUGAUACGAAGCUGUCAUACCUCUCCUGUUAUCAAAAUUGAAGACUUAUCUAAGGGUUUUAAAACACUAUGAUCCACAUUAAUGCCAAAAUGUCAAAGCUUGUCAGUAAGGAGGUACAUUGAUAAGUAAGCAGAUUUUACAGUGUCUUCCAUAUAUUGUACUACAUGUGCACUAUGCUGUGGAUGUAAACAUUGUUGUCUUGAAAGAAGCUAUGUCUGCCUUUAACCUUGGGUGUGGGUCUGUCUAACUGUCUCUUGGGGUGUCUGUCUUACUGCGUGCCUGACUGUGUAUCUGUCUGUAUCUGUCUUUGUCUUUCUCUACAGAAUCUGUGUCUGUCUGCUUGUCUCUCUCUCUAUCUGUUUGUCUUUCUGUCUGUCUGUGUCUCUAUCUCUCUGUUUAUUUAUCUAAUGUUAUUGAUAAGAAUUUAAAAAAUGUAGUAUUUAACAUCUGACAAGUAUUUCUGGCACUACUGAACACACUGGCUGCUUGUGUGUUUUGCAAAAAGCCACCUUAAUAUAGUCAAACAC